Molecule: ribosomal RNA, 494 nt
Filed under: uncultured bacterium
Lineage: Bacteria
Description: partial 16S ribosomal RNA
Rfam family: Bacterial small subunit ribosomal RNA
Source: RNAcentral
GAUGAACGCUGGCGGCGUGCCUAAUACAUGCAAGUAGAACGCUGAAGGAGGAGCUUGCUCUUCUGGAUGAGUUGCGAACGGGUGAGUAACGCGUAGGUAACCUGCCUGGUAGCGGGGGAUAACUAUUGGAAACGAUAGCUAAUACCGCAUGACAACAGUUAUUGCAUGAUAACUGUUUAAAAGGGGCAACUGCUCCACUACCAGAUGGACCUGCGUUGUAUUAGCUAGUUGGUGAGGUAACGGCUCACCAAGGCGACGAUACAUAGCCGACCUGUGAGGGUGAUCGGCCACACUGGGACUGAGACACGGCCCAGACUCCUACGGGAGGCAGCAGUAGGGAAUCUUCGGCAGUGGACGGAAGUCUGACCGAGCAACGCCGCGUGAGUGAAGAAGGUUUUCGGAUCGUAAAGCUCUGUUGUGAGAGAAGAACGAGUGUGAGAGUGGAAAGUUCGCGCUGUGCCGGUAUCUUACCAGAAAGGGCCGGCUAACUACGU